RNAcentral lists this ribosomal RNA (303 nucleotides) under Lactiplantibacillus plantarum. Its description in RNAcentral is "bacterial SSU rRNA". It matches the Rfam family "Bacterial small subunit ribosomal RNA", at positions 392 to 688 of the family's 1533-position model. The record is from RNAcentral. Lineage: Bacteria; Bacillati; Bacillota; Bacilli; Lactobacillales; Lactobacillaceae.
ACACGCCGCGUGAGUGAGAAGGGUUUCGGCUCGUAAAACUCUGUUGUUAAAGAAGAACAUAUCUGAGAGUAACUGUUCAGGUAUUGACGGUAUUUAACCAGAAAGCCACGGCUAACUACGUGCCAGCAGCCGCGGUAAUACGUAGGUGGCAAGCGUUGUCCGGAUUUAUUGGGCGUAAAGCGAGCGCAGGCGGUUUUUUAAGUCUGAUGUGAAAGCCUUCGGCUCAACCGAAGAAGUGCAUCGGAAACUGGGAAACUUGAGUGCAGAAGAGGACAGUGGAACUCCAUGUGUAGCGGUGGAAUA